This 34-nucleotide non-coding RNA is filed under the name Trypanosoma brucei brucei. Lineage: Eukaryota; Euglenozoa; Kinetoplastea; Trypanosomatida; Trypanosomatidae. The record is from RNAcentral.
AACCACAUCAACAAAUAAAAAUUACUGUGAAAUU